AUCUACGGCCAUGUCACCCUGAACAGGCCCGAUCUCAUCUGAUCUUGGAAGCUAAAGCAGGGUUGGGCCUGGUUAGUACUUGGAUGGGAGACCACCUAGGAAGACCAGGUGCUGUAGGUA
This 120-nucleotide ribosomal RNA is filed under the name Pteropus alecto (black flying fox). The record is from RNAcentral. Lineage: Eukaryota; Metazoa; Chordata; Mammalia; Chiroptera; Pteropodidae.